AGUUAGGAUAUUUUAAAAAAAAAGACAAGUUUGCGUCUUGUUAUUGAGGCUUCUCUCUUGACUU
RNAcentral lists this transfer RNA (64 nucleotides) under Cerastoderma edule. RNAcentral describes it as "tRNA-Ala". The record is from RNAcentral. Lineage: Eukaryota; Metazoa; Mollusca; Bivalvia; Cardiida; Cardiidae.